Non-coding RNA from Meleagris gallopavo (turkey), 517 nucleotides. The record is from RefSeq and is a predicted model, not a curated record. Lineage: Eukaryota; Metazoa; Chordata; Aves; Galliformes; Phasianidae.
AAUGAGUGCAAAUGGAUAUCAGUCUCUAGCUUGUGUUAUAAACUAGGAGAUACCGUGCAUAGAGUUCUGUUGCUACAUACUGAGAUGAUUGAUGCUUGCCUGCUUUGGGGUGCUGCAAGAUGUCAGACUGCCUGAGAUCACGUAAUAUCUAUGAUGCUGAAGGAAAGGCCACAGUUGUCUUUAUCCUGCAAUGAGUUUCAUCAAGAGAGCAGAGGAGCCUUCACUAAAUAUCCUGGAUCAUGUCAUAAGGGACGCAACACAUCAGCAAUAACAAGACAUGAUGACGAUACGUCUGAGGGUUACAAAGGUAUAAGUCAAGUCCAGAACCUUCUAUUACCUGUUGUGAUAGGUGGCCCUGGCCUAAAAACAUUGCCACCUGCCAAACUGGGAGAAUACUUUCUUCUUAGAUUAGACGUAUACACCAAAAAUGAAGUGCUUGUUUUAAAGAGUAUCCUCCUUUAAAGAGGGGAAUCUCCCCUAGAACUUAAAUUUAAAUAUUGAUACUGACCAUUUAGAG